UUUCUUUACUUAAGUUUUGAUUUUCUUUAAUUAAAUUCUGAUUUUUCUGGAUCAAUUGUUCUGAAUUUGACCUUAAGAUUUCAUUUUCAGAAUUUAGUUUAUCUUGUAUUUCAUCAUUAGAAUUUCUUUCUUUUGAAAUUUUCAGAUUUAGUUUCUUAAGAUUUUUAUUCUUCACAGCUAAUUUUCUACAUUCACCAUACAAAUCAUGAAAAGCAUUUAAUAAUUCAUCAUAAGAGAAUUCUUCUGGAAAAUCAUUUGAUGUAAGAGUAGAUUCAGUUUUUACCUUGUCUUCUUGUGCCACAAAGCACAAGUUAGUUACCUCUUGUAGUUCCUUGGAGCU
RNAcentral lists this long non-coding RNA (340 nucleotides) under Phoenix dactylifera (date palm). RNAcentral's name for it is "long non-coding RNA (PDAC_LNC023040)". The record is from RNAcentral. Lineage: Eukaryota; Viridiplantae; Streptophyta; Magnoliopsida; Arecales; Arecaceae.